ACCCUUGAUCUUAGUUGCCAGCAUUUAGUUGGGCACUCUAAGGUGACUGCCGGUGAUAAACCGGAGGAAGGUGGGGAUGACGUCAAAUCAUCAUGCCCCUUAUGACCUGGGCUACACACGUGCUACAAUGGAUGGUACAAAGGGCAGCAAAACCGCGAGGUCGAGCGAAUCCCAUAAAGCCAUUCUCAGUUCGGAUUGCAGGCUGCAACUCGCCUGCAUGAAGCCGGAAUUGCUAGUAAUCGUGGAUCAGCAUGCCACGGUGAAUACGUUCCCGGGCCUUGUACACACCGCCCGUCACACCACGAGAGUUUGUAACACCCGUGUCGACGGAGAAUUGCUGCCAGGAGUAAUGCAUGUUGCGGCAAGGGC
RNAcentral lists this ribosomal RNA (369 nucleotides) under uncultured Bacillota bacterium. RNAcentral's name for it is "bacterial SSU rRNA". It matches the Rfam family "Bacterial small subunit ribosomal RNA", at positions 1101 to 1463 of the family's 1533-position model. The record is from RNAcentral. Lineage: Bacteria; Bacillati; Bacillota.